GCCCUGGUAGCUCAGCAGGUAGAGCACGCGGCUGUUAACCGCGGUGUCGUAGGUUCGAGUCCUACCCAGGGCG
Molecule: transfer RNA, 73 nt
Filed under: marine sediment metagenome
Rfam family: tRNA
About the family: Transfer RNA (tRNA) molecules are approximately 80 nucleotides in length. Their secondary structure includes four short double-helical elements and three loops (D, anti-codon, and T loops).
Source: RNAcentral